Molecule: ribosomal RNA, 253 nt
Filed under: uncultured bacterium
Lineage: Bacteria
Description: partial 16S ribosomal RNA
Rfam family: Bacterial small subunit ribosomal RNA
Source: RNAcentral
UACGUAGGGUGCGAGCGUUGCCCGGAUUUAUUGGGCUUAAAGGGCGCGUAGGCGGGCCGCCCGGUCCGGGGUGAAAUCCUCCAGCUCAACUGGAGAAGUGCCUUGGAUACCGGCGGCCUCGAGGGAGGCAGGGGCGUGCGGAACUUCGGGUGGAGCGGUGAAAUGCGUAGAUAUCCGAAGGAACACCGGUGGCGAAAGCGGCGCGCUGGACCUCUUCUGACGCUGAGGCGCGAAAGCGUGGGGAGCAAACAGG